RNAcentral lists this long non-coding RNA (7938 nucleotides) under Musa acuminata (dwarf banana). Its description in RNAcentral is "long non-coding RNA (MACU_LNC000324)". The record is from RNAcentral. Lineage: Eukaryota; Viridiplantae; Streptophyta; Magnoliopsida; Zingiberales; Musaceae.
CGCCCUCCUCCUCGUCUCCUUGUCGCUCCGCUCCUUCCCCACCAUCCGAUCCCUCUCGUCCCACCGUUACUCUUUCCGUGGGGGUUCCACCGGAACUGAUGGCUCCGGGGAGACGUUGCACGUCCACAAAAAUCCGUACCACCCCCUCGACCCUCUUACGUAUAACGAGAUAAAGGCCAUCCGUUCCAUCCUCGCUUCCCACCCGGACUUCGCCUCGCCGAACACCUUCCCGUCCAUCCACUCCCUGUCGCUCUUGGAGCCCGAGAAGGCCGUCGUCCUCGCGUGGCGCCCCGGGGACACACUCCCUCCUCGCCGCGCCCUUGUCGUCGCCUAUUCCGCCAACCACACCCACGUCCUCCCCGUCGACAUCGCCUCUCGCAGCGUCCUCCGUCACGUCGUCCGCGCCCGGCCCGCCGGAUACCCCAGCCUCACCCCCGAGGAAAUGGAGCGUGCCACGAAGGCCGCCGCUGCGCACCCGGACGUUAUCAACGCCGUCUUUUAUCGCGGCCUGAACCCGUCGUCCGGCGUUGUCUGCGGACCGCUGGCGUCGGGUUGGUACGGGCCGGAGGAGGAGAACCGGCGGGUGAUCAAGGUCCAGUGCUACGCCAAGUCCCCCAACUUCUACAUGAGCCCGGUGGAGGGGCUCACGGUGACUGUGGACGUGGACACGGGUGGGGUGAUCCGCGUCUCGGACCAGGGGCUUGGGAUCCCGGUGCCGCGCAACAGGGACACGGACUACCGCUACGAGUCGCAGAGGAGGAUUCCGACGACCGAGGCGGUGGCGGUGAACCCGAUGUCGAUGGAGCAGGCGGGGAAGCCUAGCAUGAGGGUGGGGGCGGGCGGGCACGCGGUACAGUGGGCGGGGUGGGAGGUGCACAUCCGGCCGGACGCGCGGGCGGGGAUGGUGGUGUCCCGGGCGCGUUUCCGGGACCCGGAGGGCGGCGGGGCGUGGCGGGAUGUGAUGUACAAAGGGAUGGUGUCGGAGCUGUUCGUGCCGUACAUGGACCCAGGGGAGGGGUGGUACUUCAAGACCUACAUGGACGCCGGCGAGUACGGGAUGGGGACGAACGCCUUCCCCCUGCUCCGCCUCAACGACUGCCCCCGGAACGCCAUCUACAUGGACGCGGUGUUCGCAGCGGCUGACGGCACCCCCUUCGUGCGCCCGGACGUCGUCUGCGUGUUCGAGCGCUACGAGGGAGACGUGGCCUGGCGGCACACCGAGAACCCCGUGUCCGGCUACGACGUAAGCAUCGUUCUCUCCUCAUCUUCACCGCAUAAAUUGGAUCCCCUCGGAAGAAAAACCCAAAUCUCACCGUUCGUAUGCAUCAUGCACGGAUCUUAAGGGUCUGAUGGAUGCCGAUCAUAGAAAUUUACCUCUCAUCAUCUGAAAAGUAGAAAGAGUACAGUUGCAGAGAAAAGGGCGUGAAGGUAUCCGCAGAUGAAUCUCGAAGGAAUCUUGAGAGGUACGAGAGUUGGAUCCAUAGAGAUUCAGAUGCUCUCGAGGACCCCCACUCGAAAAGACAUCUCCUCACCUGUAGAAAGCAAAGAAUAGGGACGUACUUGCUUUGACCGGUGCACAGCCUCGCAGCAUCCAACGCACAUCUCUCUAUUCUCUUUUUCUACAUAAACAUCUGCAGAUGUCAUGGUGAACCGCAGACACGAUGGCUGCUGGAUGGAACACCAGUCUGAUGCAUCAUGCUUUUUGUUGUUUGAUUGCAUGGGGGUGUGAAGCAGAUAAGGGAGGCGAGGCCGAAGGUGACGCUGGUGGCCAGGAUGGUGGCGUCCGUGGGGAACUACGACUACACCGUGGAUUGGGAGUUUCAGAUGGAUGGCCUCAUCCGAGUGAAGGUAUCUAUCUAUCUAUCUAUCAAUCCGCUUCCCCUCUCUGUCUUCUUCUUCCUCCACAGAGUUCUUUUCAUAGGAACUUACCGUGUCAGAUAGUAUCGUAAUGAAGUGACAGACAAGACAAGGCCAUAUGAAGACACAGAAAACAGCCACUUGAUGAAGUCAACUUUAUUUAUUGAGAUUCCUUGAACAUGGAAUCUGGUAUCAGCUGGGCCAUAUAUAUUGUGGAAUCAAUAAAGGAUCUUGCAUCAGCUGGGCCAUCGCCAGUCUGGAUUCCUCUGGAUGUGUAUGUGUGUGUUCAGGUGGUUCUUUGGCUUGUACCAACAUAAAGAUCAAGCGGAGCAGAAGAAGCCGAAACAGCUGAUGUUUGUUUCACUCAGCACAUUUAUGCGCAUGGACCCCACAGGUGGGCCCAGUACUAAUUGCUCCGGGUGAUGUGACCAGGUGAGUCUCAGCGGCAUGCUGAUGGUGAAGGCGACACGCUACGGGAACCUGAGCCAAGUGCCGGAGGGGGAAGACCUGUACGGGACGCUGGUCGCCGACAACAUCGUCGGCGUGGUCCACGACCACUUCGUGACAUUCUACCUGGAUAUGGACGUGGACGGGCCCAGCAACUCCUUCGUCAAGGUGCACAUGGAGACGCAGGAGACGGCCCCCGGGGAGUCCCCCAGGAAGAGCUACAUGAAGGUGGUGAGGGAGGUGGCCAGGACGGAGGAGGACGCGAAGGUAAAGCUGAAGCUGUACGACCCCUCCGAGUUCCACGUCGUCAACCCUUCGCGUCUCUCCAAGCUCGGUAACCCCUCGGGGUACAAGUUGGUGCCCGGCGCCACCGCUGCAAGCUUGCUGGACUUGGACGAUCCUCCACAGAAACGAGCCGCAUUCACCAAUAACCAGGUGAUGAUCAUGUCGUACGCUCUCCUUCUCGGUGAUCGCUCGAUCGCUAUGUCAUUCUCUCUCUUGUCUCCCGGUAGAUAUGGGUCACUCCAUACAACCGCAGCGAAGAGUGGGCGGGCGGCCUGCUCGCGUAUCAGAGCCACGGGGACGACAACCUCGCUGUUUGGUCAAAGAGGUAAGACAGACGGCAAUACACUCCUCAUGCAUGCAUGCAUGCAUAGGUAGUGAGAGAACUAAUGGUACGUGAGGGUGAAUGCGUUACAGGGAUCGGAAGAUUGAGAACAAGGACAUCGUCCUGUGGUACACCAUGGGAUUCCAUCACGUACCAUGCCAAGAGGACUACCCCAUAAUGCCCACCGUGUUCUCCACCUUCGACCUGAAACCUGUCAACUUCUUUAGGAUCAAUCCGAUCAUAAGAGCAGCGCCAUACACCGAGGAAGAUCUCCCGGUGUGCAACGGGGUCCAUGCAACGCUCUGAGCAAGGAAGGCCCCAUGGAAGCACGUACGUAAAGAUCUGCGUGGUAGAAACAUGCAAAGGACGUCUACGUAGGCUUGGAUGUUGGUUGCUAUGGAUGUGCAUAAGCUUUACAUUUGUGGAUGAUAAGAUAUAGAUUUCUGUAAAUACCUCCAAUGCACUCGUCGUCUCCUGCAUAGAAUUAGUCCUCUUCGUCUCUCUCUCUCUCUAAUAAGGGAGUCAGGAGAAAGGUUGUGAAUUCCGAAGUAUGAAAUAUCGAUGUGAGGUUGUGAAGUGUUUCUAAGAAGAUCAUUUUGUAUUUAGUACGAUGAAGGAUCGGACAAACAGUAUGCAUGUAUUCUACUAUUAACUCGAACGUAAACAUUUAGAAUUGCAUAAUUUGAAGUCCAUCAAGUUAAUGAUAAAUAAUCCAUUCGUGAUAUUACAUGUCGUAUAACCAAACUAAUAAUUAGGAUUGCUAAUGUUAUGACAAAUUAUAUAACAAUAACAUCGUUAAUGUUAUGGUAAAUUAUUCGGCUAGUUUAUCAUAACAUUUUUGACUUGUUGGAAAUAAAAUUUUAAUGAAGAGGAUAUUCCAAACAUGUUUAGUAUUUCGACAAUGGAAUUAACUGUGGGCCGAAUGUGUUAGCCCAUCGAAUCCAUGGCCCAAGCAAGCAUGUCUUCUUCUUCUUCUUCGUCUUGUGAUGAGACAUGCAGGAGAUACGUAUAGCUCACCCACCCGUCAAGUGCGAGGUGGGUGGGAAGACCAAAGAGGAGUACUGUUUUAGUCUCACCAAACCUUUCAACGCCUUCGUUUCAAAGCAUGCAACCUACCACAGACCAGCGAAGUGAGUACAUUCUUUGUUUUGAUUGGAACACCAGUCUUCAGCUAACACCUUUUUGGGAAGCUCAAAUUAAUUCUAUAUAGAAAAACUCCCGUUUAAUCAUUUAUGAUUAGAAAGAUAAUUUUGAAGUCUUAUUUAGAGAAUAAUUUACAUUGAAAUUUCUCGAAAGUUUUUCGAGUCUGAAGUUAAAAAUAUUCAUCAAAUCAUUUCAUAAUGAUAAUUAAACUGUUAAAGAUGAUAGACGCAUACACUUAUUUGUUUUAAGAAGCAAAUCAUCGUCAAAAUCAAAUAAAUAUUUUAUUCUUCUUUAAGGAACAAAUAUAAUCAAAAUUAUAUAUGUGUGUUGAAAGAGAAAACUGAUGAAGUGGCCUUUUGGUUUGGCUUCCGAAACAAGAAAAGCCAUGUCUUGCAAGAGCCGCUCCUUAUAAGGGGAGAAUAUUGUGUUGGCAUUAAUAAGCGGUACGAAUAGAAGAGAACUAUCCAUUAAUAUGAUUAUAUGUACAACAUAAAUUAGUCGAUUUACUUCACUGCCUCAGUUAGAUUUUUCUGACAUAAGCAUAAAUAUUACAUAAACGAUAGAUAAUAAUGUACUUAUUUCUAAAAUCUUUGAAUUGAUUACUAUAUUAUCGCACAAAUGAUAAGUCUCAUAUUUUAAUUUAAUCGUCAUAUAAGUAAGUCAUUUGAUAUAAAUAUUUUUUAAAUUUAUUUUUCUUUUAAAAAUUAUUAUGUAGUUAAGAAUUAUUAUUUUUCUUAUGAUUAUAAUGUUAUGCUGAUGCGAUCGCAGCCUCAUACGGGCGGCGGACAAAGGAAGGCGUUGCGAUAAGGGGCGAUGGAUAUGGCUGGUGAAACCAGAGGCAGUCAUCCGUCACCCCUUUCUGACGGCUGAGAUGUAAUCCGUACUCCGAUCCGACGUCUCUCGAUGCGUGGGUCCCUUUCCCCUCGCUCCAUUCUCUCCGACACCCCAUCCAAGUGGCUCAAAAGGCCCCGUACCUUUCUUAUUCCUCUCGCCCACUCCAUCCCGUAGCCAAUCGAGAGAGUGAGAGACAUGGCCGCUUCAUCCUCCGUGAACGCCGCCCAAGCCAUCGUUGGCCUCGCCGUCUCUAGCCAUGGUUCCCACUCCGCCGACCGCGUCGCCGUCCCCGCCGGCGGAUUCGCCCUCAGUUCCCUAGCCGGCCGCUCCCUCACCUGCUCCCACUCCCCCCGUUUCCAGCAUCAGCGGCGGUGCCCGCGGCAGGCGUCACGCGCCGCGCGUCGCGCGGCGCCCGCCAGGGCCGCCGCGGUGGAGACCCUCGAGGCUGCCGCCACGGAGGCCCUCGUCGAGAAGUCCAUCAACACCAUCAGGUUCCUCGCCAUCGACGCCGUCGAGAAGGCCAACUCCGGCCACCCGGGCCUCCCCAUGGGGUGCGCGCCCAUGGGCCACAUCCUGUACGACGAGGUCAUGAGGUACAACCCCAAGAACCCCUACUGGUUCAACCGCGACCGCUUCGUCCUCUCCGCCGGCCAUGGCUGCAUGCUCCAGUACGCGUUGCUCCACCUUGCUGGCUACGACAGCGUCCAGGUCAGGCCUUGGAUCUUUCCCGAGUCUUAUCCUCAGAUUUGAUGAAGCUAUUACCAAGAAAGUUGGCAACUUGAUGGUGAUCGGUCCAUUCUUCUUCAUAGAUUUGGAUCUGGCUUUGGAAUGAGAUCUCUGCUAUUCCUUUUUCUUGCUUUAAUCAUGGUAUCAUCACACACGUAAUUUCUUGGAAUCGAAAGCAUAGUAAAGUCCUAAACUUCUCAUUUGAUCAGUUCACUCAGAUGCCUAUCAUGUUCACCGAUCUGUAUAGUAUCAAACACACUAGAUCACUCUACUCUACCAAUUUCAUGUGCGUUUUGAUUUGCAUCAAGAUGAUGUUGUCUUGGUCAUUUAGAUGGAGGACAUCAAGCAAUUCCGGCAAUGGGGGAGCAGAACUCCCGGCCAUCCUGAGAAUUUCGAGACCCCCGGAGUUGAAGUCACCACCGGUUAAGUCUCCUGCAGAUUUUAUGAUACGUUUUGUGAUCAUCUCUUUCCUUCAUUGCUUUCCCUGAGCUUUCACGACCGUCUGUUGAUCGGCACGAACACGAUGCAGGGCCACUUGGUCAAGGCGUAGCCAAUGCCGUAGGAUUGGCACUUGCUGAGAGACACCUUGCGGCCCGUUUCAAUAAGCCUGACAACGAGAUCGUCGACCAUUACACGUAAGUUCUGUCUUGGUUAUGUCCGAAUGCUGCUGCUAAGGUCACACGUUUGAGUAAUUUGAUUUCGAUCGGUAGAUAUGUUAUACUCGGGGAUGGUUGCCAAAUGGAGGGCAUCGCAAACGAAGCUUGUUCGAUCGCCGGACACUGGGGUCUCGGCAAACUCAUCGCCUUCUACGAUGACAACCACAUCUCCAUCGAUGGAGACACAGAGAUCGCGUUUACAGAAGAUGUGUCUGCUCGUUUCGACGCUCUCGGGUGGCAUACUAUCUGGGUGAAGAACGGUAACACAGGGUAUGAUGACAUUCGUGCCGCGAUCAUGGAAGCAAAGGCUGUCAAAGAUAAACCAACACUCAUCAAGGUUUGUGUUGUUUGCCGGAAUUGUUCUCGAGCAGAAUGUUCGGCUGGGUAUAUGCUUGUUUCGGAUUGCUAAGCCACUGCACUCGUGCAGGUCACCACUACCAUCGGAUAUGGAUCGCCCAAUAAGGCGAACUCGUACAGUGUGCAUGGAAGUGCAUUGGGUGCCAAGGAAGUCGAUGCAACUCGACAGAAUCUUGGAUGGCCGUACGAGCCUUUCCAUGUGCCCGAGGAUAUCAAGAGGUCAGCGACUACGAAUUCGGAUUCUAAUCGUCGAUUAUGAAUGAUUUGUUCUGUACAUAGACCUGUGCUCUGGUUUAUGGUUCAGUCACUGGAGCCGCCAUGUCGCUGAAGGUGCAUCCCUUGAAGCUGAGUGGAACGCCAAGUUUGCAGAGUACGAGAAGAAGUACAAGGAGGAUGCUGCAGAGCUGAAAGCCAUCGUAUCGGGAGAAUUGCCUGCCGGAUGGGAGAAAGCUCUUCCGGUGAAUCUCUCACCCUCCUGUCUUCUGACGCUAUCCAUCCAUUCGAUGUCGUAAAGCUAUGAUUCCAUAUGGCUCUUUUCCAGACAUACACUCCUGAGAGUCCUGCCGAUGCUACCAGAAACUUGUCGCAACAGAACUUGAAUGCGCUUGCGAAAGUUCUACCUGGACUUCUCGGGGGUAGUGCAGAUCUCGCAUCCUCCAACAUGACAUUGCUCAAGAUGUUUGGGGACUUCCAGAAGGGCACGCCCGAGGAGCGUAAUGUUCGUUUUGGUGUACGGGAGCACGGGAUGGGCGCCAUCUGCAACGGCAUCGCCCUCCACAGCCCCGGCCUUCUCCCCUACUGUGCGACCUUCUUUGUUUUCACGGACUACAUGAGAGCUGCCAUCAGGAUCUCAGCUUUGUGCGAGGCAGGAGUCAUCUAUGUGAUGACGCAUGAUUCCAUCGGUCUCGGGGAGGACGGUCCGACUCACCAGCCGAUCGAACACUUGAUAAGUUUCCGAGCCAUGCCGAACAUUCUAAUGCUCAGGCCUGCCGAUGGAAAUGAGACCGCCGGAGCAUACAAGGUCGCGGUGCUCAACAGGAAGAGGCCAUCGGUGCUCGCUCUCUCGCGGCAGAAACUUCCUCAGCUUGCGGGAACAUCAAUCGAGGGAGUAGAGAAGGGAGGGUACAUCGUUUCAGACAACUCCUCAGGUAACAAACCAGACCUGAUCUUGAUGGGCACCGGUUCGGAACUGGAAAUUGCAGCGAAGGCUGCCGACGAGCUGAGGAAGACGGGGAAAACGGUCCGAGUGGUAUCGCUCGUCUGCUGGGAGUUGUUCGAGGAGCAAUCAGAUGAAUACAAGGAGAGUGUGCU